This 527-nucleotide ribosomal RNA is filed under the name uncultured beta proteobacterium. Its description in RNAcentral is "bacterial SSU rRNA". It matches the Rfam family "Bacterial small subunit ribosomal RNA", at positions 8 to 526 of the family's 1533-position model. RNAcentral also lists the same sequence under 1 other name. Lineage: Bacteria; Pseudomonadati; Pseudomonadota; Betaproteobacteria. The record is from RNAcentral.
AGAGUUUGAUCCUGGCUCAGAUUGAACGCUGGCGGCAUGCCUUACACAUGCAAGUCGAACGGUAGAGGGGCAACCCUUGAGAGUGGCGAACGGGUGAGUAAUGCAUCGGAACGUGCCCAGUCGUGGGGGAUAACGCAGCGAAAGCUGUGCUAAUACCGCAUGUGAUCUGUGGAUGAAAGCAGGGGACUUGGUAGCAAUACUGGGCCUUGUGCGAUUGGAGCGGCCGAUGUCAGAUUAGCUAGUUGGUAGGGUAAAAGCCUACCAAGGCGACGAUCUGUAGCUGGUCUGAGAGGACGACCAGCCACACUGGGACUGAGACACGGCCCAGACUCCUACGGGAGGCAGCAGUGGGGAAUUUUGGACAAUGGGCGCAAGCCUGAUCCAGCAAUGCCGCGUGCAGGACGAAGGCCUUCGGGUUGUAAACUGCUUUUGUACGGAGCGAAACGGUCUGGGUUAAUACCCUAGGCUAAUGACGGUACCGUAAGAAUAAGCACCGGCUAACUACGUGCCAGCAGCCGCGGUAAUAC